Podarcis raffonei (Aeolian wall lizard) is the source of this 873-nucleotide long non-coding RNA. RefSeq lists it as uncharacterized. The transcript has 2 exons. Lineage: Eukaryota; Metazoa; Chordata; Lepidosauria; Squamata; Lacertidae. The record is from RefSeq and is a predicted model, not a curated record.
UGCUCCUCGUGCUUGAACUAGCACUGUCGUACCUACACAUGAGUAAUUAAUACUGAGGCCUAAUAUGAAGAGUAGAAUGCUUGAUAUCUGGUGGGCGGGGCUUGUGGGUUAUGCUCUGGAAUCAGCCCCUCCCUUCAGUGUGUGUUCAGUUAAGAAUGUCAGUUAAGAGGGACCAACUGCCUCUUCUUGCCUCUUGCCCCAGAUUUGCCUCAUGUUUUUGUAUUUAGUUUCUCUCAUUAUGUUAUUUUUUUACAGUUUUCUCUCAGUUUAUCAUUAAAGCUUGUUUACAUUUACGUGAGUCACUUAUUUUUCUCAAAGAAAAAGAAACUCUGCUGAAGAAUGGUGGAAUAUUCUAAACUUGGGUUGGAUGCUCCUCCUCUCUCAUAGGCCAGAAUGCACAUCAUUCAGCAGACGACAUUCUCCAUCCAAUAUAUCAUCUGGACUGGAUAACAACUUGGAAGAGCAUCCUGUGAAGGCUAAAAUGCAGUUGAGGCAUGGCCAGGUCCUCUAGAUAAGACCAUACGGGCAGCAGUGGAGUGUUUUAAGGCAAGGAAGGUUUCCAAAUUAAGCUCAGUGAGAACUGUGGAAACAGCUCCUCUGUGUGCAGUAUUUAAAAUGGAAGAUUAUUAUAGCCCAAAGCAGACAAGGACCCUGUUUUCCUGCAUACCUGCACAAUGAACAAUCUCCCGUGCUCCUUUCUGCCUUUCUUUGUACAGUCCUGCUGCAGCUCUUGCCUUCCUCUUUCCUUUAUCCCUUGUAAUUUGCACAGAGGGUUGCUUCUGUAGCCAAUUUAUUUGUAAAGUUUCCUUCUGCAAGGGGAAAACACCGGUGGUUAAAAAAUAGGAAUGAAAAUUAUAGAACUGCUUUCCAGAA